UUAAGUUAUUAAGGGCGCACGGUGGAUGCCUUGGCACUAGAAGCCGAUGAAGGACGUUACUAACGACGAUAUGCUUUGGGGAGCUGUAAGUAAGCUUUGAUCCAGAGAUUUCCGAAUGGGGAAACCCAGCAUGAGUUAUGUCAUGUUAUCGAUAUGUGAAUACAUAGCAUAUCAGAAGGCACACCCGGAGAACUGAAACAUCUUAGUACCCGGAGGAAGAGAAAGAAAAUUCGAUUCCCUUAGUAGCGGCGAGCGAAACGGGAAGAGCCCAAACCAACAAGCUUGCUUGUUGGGGUUGUAGGACACUCUAUACGGAGUUACAAAGGACGACAUUAGACGAAUCAUCUGGAAAGAUGAAUCAAAGAAGGUAAUAAUCCUGUAGUCGAAAAUGUUGUCUCUCUUGAGUGGAUCCUGAGUACGACGGAGCACGUGAAAUUCCGUCGGAAUCUGGGAGGACCAUCUCCUAAGGCUAAAUACUCUCUAGUGACCGAUAGUGAACCAGUACCGUGAGGGAAAGGUGAAAAGCACCCCGGAAGGGGAGUGAAACAGAACCUGAAACCGUGUGCUUACAAGUAGUCAGAGCCCGUUAAUGGGUGAUGGCGUGCCUUUUGUAGAAUGAACCGGCGAGUUACGAUUUGAUGCAAGGUUAAGCAGUAAAUGUGGAGCCGUAGCGAAAGCGAGUCUGAAUAGGGCGUUUAGUAUUUGGUCGUAGACCCGAAACCAGGUGAUCUACCCUUGGUCAGGUUGAAGUUCAGGUAACACUGAAUGGAGGACCGAACCGACUUACGUUGAAAAGUGAGCGGAUGAACUGAGGGUAGCGGAGAAAUUCCAAUCGAACCUGGAGAUAGCUGGUUCUCUCCGAAAUAGCUUUAGGGCUAGCCUCAAGUGAUGAUUAUUGGAGGUAGAGCACUGUUUGGACGAGGGGCCCCUCUCGGGUUACCGAAUUCAGACAAACUCCGAAUGCCAAUUAAUUUAACUUGGGAGUCAGAACAUGGGUGAUAAGGUCCGUGUUCGAAAGGGAAACAGCCCAGACCACCAGCUAAGGUCCCAAAAUAUAUGUUAAGUGGAAAAGGAUGUGGCGUUGCCCAGACAACUAGGAUGUUGGCUUAGAAGCAGCCAUCAUUUAAAGAGUGCGUAAUAGCUCACUAGUCGAGUGACACUGCGCCGAAAAUGUACCGGGGCUAAACAUAUUACCGAAGCUGUGGAUUGUCCUUUGGACAAUGGUAGGAGAGCGUUCUAAGGGCGUUGAAGCAUGAUCGUAAGGACAUGUGGAGCGCUUAGAAGUGAGAAUGCCGGUGUGAGUAGCGAAAGACGGGUGAGAAUCCCGUCCACCGAUUGACUAAGGUUUCCAGAGGAAGGCUCGUCCGCUCUGGGUUAGUCGGGUCCUAAGCUGAGGCCGACAGGCGUAGGCGAUGGAUAACAGGUUGAUAUUCCUGUACCACCUAUAAUCGUUUUAAUCGAUGGGGGGACGCAGUAGGAUAGGCGAAGCGUGCGAUUGGAUUGCACGUCUAAGCAGUAAGGCUGAGUAUUAGGCAAAUCCGGUACUCAUUAAGGCUGAGCUGUGAUGGGGAGAAGACAUUGUGUCUUCGAGUCGUUGAUUUCACACUGCCGAGAAAAGCCUCUAGAUAGAAAAUAGGUGCCCGUACCGCAAACCGACACAGGUAGUCAAGAUGAGAAUUCUAAGGUGAGCGAGCGAACUCUCGUUAAGGAACUCGGCAAAAUGACCCCGUAACUUCGGGAGAAGGGGUGCUCUUUAGGGUUAACGCCCAGAAGAGCCGCAGUGAAUAGGCCCAAGCGACUGUUUAUCAAAAACACAGGUCUCUGCUAAACCGUAAGGUGAUGUAUAGGGGCUGACGCCUGCCCGGUGCUGGAAGGUUAAGAGGAGUGGUUAGCUUCUGCGAAGCUACGAAUCGAAGCCCCAGUAAACGGCGGCCGUAACUAUAACGGUCCUAAGGUAGCGAAAUUCCUUGUCGGGUAAGUUCCGACCCGCACGAAAGGCGUAACGAUUUGGGCACUGUCUCAACGAGAGACUCGGUGAAAUCAUAGUACCUGUGAAGAUGCAGGUUACCCGCGACAGGACGGAAAGACCCCGUGGAGCUUUACUGUAGCCUGAUAUUGAAAUUCGGCACAGCUUGU
This 2136-nucleotide ribosomal RNA is filed under the name Staphylococcus aureus 44(2608). Its description in RNAcentral is "bacterial LSU rRNA". It matches the Rfam family "Bacterial large subunit ribosomal RNA", at positions 3 to 2137 of the family's 2925-position model. The record is from RNAcentral. Lineage: Bacteria; Bacillati; Bacillota; Bacilli; Caryophanales; Staphylococcaceae.